UCAGACUUCAUAGAAUCUCUUCUAUAGUAAUCGUCUUCUUCUGAGUCUCUCACAAGAGCCACAGAAUCUCCAACCUGACUGAUGAGUUGAAUCCUCGGUGUCCCGGAGUGAGGCCUUUUGCGUUUGCUUCGGCGAAUGCGGCGAUGAUCUUCAGUCAAACGGGCUCGUACUUCGGUCGGUCUGCGCGACAGGACACUGAGUGAAAUCUGACAGGC
This 215-nucleotide small nucleolar RNA is filed under the name Clohesyomyces aquaticus. RNAcentral's name for it is "Fungal small nucleolar RNA U3". It matches the Rfam family "Fungal small nucleolar RNA U3". From Rfam's summary of the family: Small nucleolar RNAs (snoRNAs) are involved in the processing and modification of rRNA in the nucleolus. The record is from Rfam by way of RNAcentral. Lineage: Eukaryota; Fungi; Ascomycota; Dothideomycetes; Pleosporales; Lindgomycetaceae.